This 397-nucleotide ribosomal RNA is filed under the name uncultured bacterium. Its description in RNAcentral is "partial 16S ribosomal RNA". It matches the Rfam family "Bacterial small subunit ribosomal RNA", at positions 523 to 918 of the family's 1533-position model. The record is from RNAcentral.
AUACGUAGGGGGCGAGCGUUGUCCGGAAUGAUUGGGCGUAAAGGGCGCGUAGGCGGCCGCUUAAGUCUGGAGUGAAAGUCCUGUUUUCAAGAUGGGAAUUGCUUUGGAUACUGGGGGGCUUGAGUGCAGGAGAGGUUAUCGGAAUUCCCGGUGUAGCGGUGAAAUGCGUGGAGAUCGGGAGGAACACCAGUGGCGAAGGCGGGUAACUGGACUGCAACUGACGCUGAGGCGCGAAAGUGUGGGGAGCAAACAGGAUUAGAUACCCUGGUAGUCCACACUGUAAACGAUGAAUGCUAGGUGUAAGAGGUAUCGACCCCUUUUGUGCCGGAGUCAACACAAUAAGCAUUCCGCCUGGGGAGUACGGCCGCAAGGUUGAAUCUCAAAUGAAUUGACGGGG